Micropterus dolomieu (smallmouth bass) is the source of this 390-nucleotide long non-coding RNA. RefSeq lists it as uncharacterized. The record is from RefSeq and is a predicted model, not a curated record. NCBI's taxonomy places the organism in Eukaryota, Metazoa, Chordata, Actinopteri, Centrarchiformes, Centrarchidae. The transcript has 2 exons.
UUUUGAUCAGGCUGUGUCAUGGGGUUUUCAGUGGACAUAGUCAUUGUGACGUCACCCGUUAGUUUGUGGACUGCCAUUUUGAAGCCUUGAGUUUGGCCGAUAGGGCGCCGCCAUGGCUGUCCUUGACGCGGUGGUGAGAAACCGCAUCUACUGAAGUAAGGGAGGACGAUGAGGCUGAAUAGAGAGGGGAAAAGGAGGAGGAGGAGGAAUCAGAGGAAAAGGCAGACAAGGAAGAUGAGGAGGAAGAAGAAGAGAGAUCCAGAGGAGCCACCCAAGCCCGGAAAGUAAAGCUGUCGCUCGUCGUCUCUGAGUCAUCGUGGAUGUAUGUGAUGCCUAACUUGUUUAGGGUGACCUGGGAAAAAUCAGGUUGGUUCCUGAGAAAAGAAGGGG